UACGUAGGGUGCGAGCGUUGUCCGGAAUUACUGGGCGUAAAGAGCUCGUAGGUGGUUUGUCGCGUCGUCUGUGAAAUUCCGGGGCUUAACUCCGGGCGUGCAGGCGAUACGGGCAUAACUUGAGUACUGUAGGGGAGACUGGAAUUCCUGGUGUAGCGGUGAAAUGCGCAGAUAUCAGGAGGAACACCGGUGGCGAAGGCGGGUCUCUGGGCAGUAACUGACGCUGAGGAGCGAAAGCAUGGGUAGCGAACAGG
Molecule: ribosomal RNA, 254 nt
Filed under: uncultured bacterium
Lineage: Bacteria
Also listed under: 1 other name
Description: partial 16S ribosomal RNA
Rfam family: Bacterial small subunit ribosomal RNA
Source: RNAcentral